This is a long non-coding RNA of Gorilla gorilla gorilla (western lowland gorilla), 436 nucleotides long. RefSeq lists it as uncharacterized. The record is from RefSeq and is a predicted model, not a curated record. The transcript has 3 exons. NCBI's taxonomy places the organism in Eukaryota, Metazoa, Chordata, Mammalia, Primates, Hominidae.
CCUCCCUGGGCUGUCACACGCGGCGAGGCAGCCGGGCUCCGACCCAAGCCAGCUCCGCUGGCCAACCGACCGCUCUGGACGGAGGUUGAGGGGGCUCACUGAGGAAAAGGCAGCUACUAACCCAGCAUGCCAAAGAGCUGGAUGAGGGGUCAGCAUUAGAAGAAAAUGUCAAGAUCCAGUAGUGAAAAACAGGCAGAUACACAACCCACAAAGCAUUUCCUGCCAUGACUCCCAAGACAACCUGACCUUUGGGUACAUUCCAGAGUGGAGCUUCCUCUAGAUGAACUGGAACACCGCUCCCACGGACCUCCCAGUGAAGAAAACACACUGUGCCAAAAGUGUAUAUUUAAAUUUUGGGCACCAGAGCAAAAACUUACACAUAAGAUUCCUUUACUUUCGCUAAAUGCAAAAUAAAAAUAAACAUCUCAGAAGAAAA